This is a long non-coding RNA of Solanum dulcamara, 2794 nucleotides long. RefSeq lists it as uncharacterized. NCBI's taxonomy places the organism in Eukaryota, Viridiplantae, Streptophyta, Magnoliopsida, Solanales, Solanaceae. The transcript is spliced from 5 exons. The record is from RefSeq and is a predicted model, not a curated record.
UAUUUCCAUCAGUUUACACACUUCUGCUACUCCUUUAGCUAGUAUGCAUUUUUUACAUCCUCUUAGUUUAUCGUGUGUGUGCUCUGUUAAGUGAUUCCAUGGUUUUUGAGUUUGGUGGUUUAAUUUCUUGUUCUUUUUCUAUAUGUUAUCUUUCCUCUUUGGUCAAAUUUAAUUAUGAUAGUUUCUAUUCUGUGUCAUUUGGCAUGUUGGGAUCUGUAUAUGUUUUUACUUGAGCUUCAAUUUGGUGAUGCAUGAUAUAUGAAUGUACAUAUAAAUUGAAAUUGCGAUUUUUUGGUUCUUUUCGGGGUGAGGAAAUUAGCGCCUGUGAGGUUUGCUACUUGAAGAAAUCAACUUUUGGCUUCACGUGUGUUAUUACUUUGAACAGCUGGGAAUUCAUUAUUAAUUUGUAUCACCUUUUUUUAAAGGGUUUACUCUUUUCCGACUGUUGUGCUUGUAAGUGUUGUCGUUCUCCUUCUACUUAUUUCUACGUCUUUGAAUUUUUUCUAUUGUAUUUUCCUUCUGAUCUUCUGUUUUUUUCACCAUGUGUGUAGUCUUUAAAUAGCGUAAUGACUUUUUAUUUUGCAAUAAUUUUAUAUCUAUAUUUUUUCCAAGUUGAGACAAUCUUAGCUAUUGAUAGUGUCUAUGAGACUUUACCUUGAAGACUAAAGCUUAAAGGAUCACCUUAGUGUUUUGAUGAAUUGCGCAACCAAUUUUUCAUGUAUCUCAGGGAGAAUUCUUCUAUUGUGACUACCAUUCAGGUUAGUGCAAGUUAGAACUUGCUAGCCAAAUACAAGCUAACAUCAUUUCUUACCCUUAUGCUAUCCGUGGAUCAAUUGAAAAAAAAUCAUAUUAGCCACGUUAUAUUAUAUAUAGAGGGUUCACACAAGAAAAGAAGUUGAUGUAUUAAUGAUUCACCUUUCCAAUAACCGUACUUUCUCUAGGUAAAUAAUUGGUUACUUGGGGAAAGACUAGAAUAUUUUCUUGCUAAACAGUUUUUCGAAUCAAGUGAUGAGGCCUCAUUCCCAAAAAAGAGUCUGAAGUAGUGACGACUUUAAAUAAAAUGAUUGCAUAUUUAUUAUAGACACAGAGUAGCUAUUGAAUGUGUAUUUUCUUUUUUUUAAUUCUGUGAUAACAUUGGCAAUACAUAUGUAUGUGAAAGUAGAAGUAUCUACUUUUGCUCUUUGACUAUUUGCGGAAAUUCUUCAGCAACGCAGCCUUUUCAAAUUUAAUUUUUUUAUAUAGCUUCUUAAUUUUUUUAUUAUCUACUGAUGUGUUAUGUUUUUGAUAAUUCUUGAAUUUUGAUGCUUGCUUUUGGAAGGAGCCAUUUAUUUCCAAACGUAGUUGUUGCCUUACUAACUUUUCUCCUCUAAUACAUCUGCUCGUCCGUUGCUUUUCUAUGGUUCAAGCUUAUCCAUGGGCGGAGGUACACCUUGCGUAAGCUGGUCAGAUGAACAACCUUCAUCGAAAAUAUUUUGCGAGUAUAUAUGUUAAAUAUCGAUAUUAUAUGAUAUAUACAAACUAUUGAACAUUGUUAACAUACUAAUAAAAGAUAGCCUAGUUGUUAAGUGUGUGCAUUUUCGCAUGAAGGACUUGGGUUCGAACCUCAACAAUGGCAUUUUUUUUUAUCUUUCUGAUUCCGUUUUGUUUUUAAUUUUUUUUUGAUCUUUGUGAUUCCGUUUUGUUUUUAAAAAAAGGAACAGAACUUUUGAUGAAAUCAGUUCCACUUUUUCUUUAUUUAAAAAACAAAAAGUCCUAUUUUGACUUUUUUAAAUUAAAAAAUAAUCUACCCACUUAGUCAUUAAACAAAUCCUUUACCCUUUAGUUUUUCAUCCUCUUCUUCAAAAUUCUCCCAUACUUCUUCUCUUCUUCAAAAAGAGAAGCAAAAAUCCUCUUCUCUUUACCCUUCUGUCUUCUCAAAUCUUAAUUUCUCAUACCCCUUUUCAAGUUUUAAGAAGUCGAAGACCAUCAAGAACUAUUAUAUUUUUUCCCUCAAAAAUUAUUGUAGUGAGAAAAGGGUACCCAAAACAAAUACGGUGUCUUAAAAUCAAAAUCAACUAUGCUGAGAUGAAAAUAUCGACCAAAUAGAAAUACCAUGUCACUCUUCUCAUAUACAGGAAUUUGAUAUGAAUGAUCUAAAGGUUGAUCCGGUUGAAAGAACUCCAAUAUUGAGUUACCAUCCAAAUAUUCGUGAUAAAGAGGGAAUACAUUAUAAAAGUUAAAGGAGAAAGCAUUCAUCAAGGUGGUGGUAAUGUAUUUUCGACAAAAGGGUUCAGAAAUUGGUAUAGAAAAGAUGGUUUUGCUACAGUGUUGGUCCACCAAAUAGUGUUCAUAAUCAAUCCAAAAGAAAGUGAAAAGAUCUAAUGUGAGAACAACAAUCCAUUCAAGCCGCAUUUUACAAGUUGGAUGAUAAAGGUAUGCAUGAAUAUCGGGUUUGCUUCAAUGCUUCAAUCGAUGUGGGAAAGAAUAUGAACAACUUGGAGCACUAUAGAGAGAUCAAUAAUUUAACCUAGAGUCUGAGGAUAAGGGACCGGCGUUCUUCUUCAUUCUCCUCCACAUGGCUAGUAGAGAUCGUUGAAGGAUACUUUUGGGUGAGUUCCCAUGUUUUAAAAACAAUAUUCCUUUGUCUUUUUAUCUUAUUAAACGUUGAGACUUCUAGACAUUAUAUUUUGACUUUUGUUUUAUAUUAAUUGAAGGUGAGCUAGGGACAUGUCUUAGCCCCUGCCAAGUCUAUAAUAUAGAGGUAUUGUUGGACAUGUAUAAGUAAGGUUUGACUAAUUUGGUUCUUAUUUAAAUA